Molecule: ribosomal RNA, 527 nt
Filed under: uncultured Flavobacteriaceae bacterium
Lineage: Bacteria; Pseudomonadati; Bacteroidota; Flavobacteriia; Flavobacteriales; Flavobacteriaceae
Description: bacterial SSU rRNA
Rfam family: Bacterial small subunit ribosomal RNA
Source: RNAcentral
CUACGGGAGGCAGCAGUGAGGAAUAUUGGACAAUGGGCGGGAGCCUGAUCCAGCCAUGCCGCGUGCAGGAAGACUGCCCUAUGGGUUGUAAACUGCUUUUGUACAGGAAGAAACACUCCCUCGUGAGGGAGCUUGACGGUACUGUAAGAAUAAGGAUCGGCUAACUCCGUGCCAGCAGCCGCGGUAAUACGGAGGAUCCAAGCGUUAUCCGGAAUCAUUGGGUUUAAAGGGUCCGUAGGUGGAUGAUUAAGUCAGAGGUGAAAUCCUGCAGCUCAACUGUAGAAUUGCCUUUGAUACUGGUUGUCUUGAAUUAUUGUGAAGUAGUUAGAAUAUGUGGUGUAGCGGUGAAAUGCAUAGAUAUCACAUAGAAUACCGAUUGCGAAGGCAGAUUACUAACAAUACAUUGACACUGAUGGACGAAAGCGUGGGGAGCGAACAGGAUUAGAUACCCUGGUAGUCCACGCCGUAAAGCGAUGGAUAUCUAGCUGUUCGGAUUUAUCUGAGUGGCUAAGCGAAAGUGAUAAGUU